CCCAGGUCAGGCGGGAUUACCCGCUGA
RNAcentral lists this small nuclear RNA (27 nucleotides) under Arabidopsis thaliana (thale cress). RNAcentral describes it as "snRNA_04338". The record is from RNAcentral. Lineage: Eukaryota; Viridiplantae; Streptophyta; Magnoliopsida; Brassicales; Brassicaceae.